This is a long non-coding RNA of Oryzias melastigma (Indian medaka), 398 nucleotides long. RefSeq lists it as uncharacterized. The record is from RefSeq and is a predicted model, not a curated record. The transcript has 2 exons. NCBI's taxonomy places the organism in Eukaryota, Metazoa, Chordata, Actinopteri, Beloniformes, Adrianichthyidae.
ACGAUGACGAUGAGCAGCACCAGCAGAGGAACGCCGACACCCACCAGGACCUUCCAGCCGGCAAGUGACAGACUGAAGACCAACAGCGGUAGAACAAAGAAGCAGCAGACUAUGUAGACCGCCGCGAACCAGCGGUUUUGGAAACAUCCCUCACCUGAAGAGCAUUUCCCAGUGUCUCUCCUGGACUCGCCAUGGCUGCUAGAAUGGCGGUUGUGGUUGUGCCGAUAUUUGAACCCAAGGACAACGGGUAUGCCCUCUCUAUGCUGAUGACACCGAUACCUGUUUGGAAAAGAGAAACAUGGUAGUAGGGUUUCUGUCACUUCUUCUUCAUUUUUGUAUGAAUACAAAAAAAUUGAUAUUUUUACAGGAGUGGAUGAAAAAAUGUAAAAAAAAAAAAA